AUUGAACGCUGUCGACAGGCCUAACACAUGCAAGUCGAACGGUAACAGGAAGAAGCUUGCUUCUUUGCUGACGAGUGGCGGACGGGUGAGUAAUGUCUGGGAAACUGCCUGAUGGAGGGGGAUAACUACUGGAAACGGUAGCUAAUACCGCAUAACGUCGCAAGACCAAAGAGGGGGACCUUCGGGCCUCUUGCCAUCGGAUGUGCCCAGAUGGGAUUAGCUAGUAGGUGGGGUAACGGCUCACCUAGGCGACGAUCCCUAGCUGGUCUGAGAGGAUGACCAGCCACACUGGAACUGAGACACGGUCCAGACUCCUACGGGAGGCAGCAGUGGGGAAUAUUGCACAAUGGGCGCAAGCCUGAUGCAGCCAUGCCGCGUGUAUGAAGAAGGCCUUCGGGUUGUAAAGUACUUUCAGCGGGGAGGAAGGGAGUAAAGUUAAUACCUUUACUCAUUGACGUUACCCGCAGAAGAAGCACCGGCUAACUCCGUG
Molecule: ribosomal RNA, 490 nt
Filed under: uncultured bacterium
Lineage: Bacteria
Description: partial 16S ribosomal RNA
Rfam family: Bacterial small subunit ribosomal RNA
Source: RNAcentral